RNAcentral lists this transfer RNA (75 nucleotides) under Coriobacteriales bacterium. RNAcentral describes it as "tRNA-Thr". It matches the Rfam family "tRNA". From Rfam's summary of the family: Transfer RNA (tRNA) molecules are approximately 80 nucleotides in length. Their secondary structure includes four short double-helical elements and three loops (D, anti-codon, and T loops). The record is from RNAcentral. Lineage: Bacteria; Bacillati; Actinomycetota; Coriobacteriia; Coriobacteriales.
GCCAAUGUGGCGCAACGGUAGCGCAUCUGAUUUGUAAUCAGGCGGUUGCAGGUUCAAAUCCUGUCAUUGGCUCCA